AUUGAACGCUGGCGGCAUGCUUUACACAUGCAAGUCGAACGGCAGCGCGGGCUUCGGCCUGGCGGCGAGUGGCGAACGGGUGAGUAAUACAUCGGAACGUGCCCAGUAGUGGGGGAUAGCUCGGCGAAAGCCGGAUUAAUACCGCAUACGACCUUAGGGUGAAAGCGGGGGAUCUUCGGACCUCGCGCUAUUGCAGCGGCCGAUGGCAGAUUAGCUAGUUGGUGGGGUAAAGGCCUACCAAGGCGACGAUCCGUAGCCGGUCUGAGAGGACGACCAGCCACACUGGGACUGAGACACGGCCCAGACUCCUACGGGAGGCAGCAGUGGGGAAUUUUGGACAAUGGGCGAAAGCCUGAUCCAGCCAUGCCGCGUGUGUGAUGAAGGCCUUCGGGUUGUAAAGCACUUUUGGCGGGAACGAAAAGGACUGUGCCAAUACCACGGUUCGAUGACGGUACCCGCAGAAUAAGCACCGGCUAACUACGUG
RNAcentral lists this ribosomal RNA (484 nucleotides) under uncultured bacterium. RNAcentral's name for it is "partial 16S ribosomal RNA". It matches the Rfam family "Bacterial small subunit ribosomal RNA", at positions 29 to 507 of the family's 1533-position model. The record is from RNAcentral.